Molecule: ribosomal RNA, 253 nt
Filed under: uncultured bacterium
Lineage: Bacteria
Description: partial 16S ribosomal RNA
Rfam family: Bacterial small subunit ribosomal RNA
Source: RNAcentral
UACGUAGGGUGCGCGCGUUAAUCGGAAUUACUGGGUGUAAAGGGCGUGUAGGCGGGGAUUUAAGUCAGAUGUGAAAUCCUGAGGCUCAACCUCAGAGCUGCAUCUGAAACUGGAUCUCUUGAGUGCUGGAGAGGAAAGCGGAAUUCCUAGUGUAGCGGUGAAAUGCGUAGAUAUUAGGAGGAACACCAGUGGCGAAGGCGGCUUUCUGGACAGUAACUGACGCUGAGGCGCGAAAGCGUGGGGAGCAAACAGG